GCCCUUCCGGCGGGGAUAGCCGGGCCAACGCCCGGGUAAUACCGCAUACGUUUCCCUGGGGGCAUCCUUGGGGAAAGAAACUUCCGGGGCGGAGGGAGGGGCUCGCGGCCUAUCAGCUAGUUGGGGGGUAACGGCCUCCCAAGGCGACGACGGGUAGCUGGUCUGAGAGGAUGGCCAGCCACAUUGGGACUGAGAGACGGCCCAG
Molecule: ribosomal RNA, 205 nt
Filed under: uncultured bacterium
Lineage: Bacteria
Description: partial 16S ribosomal RNA
Rfam family: Bacterial small subunit ribosomal RNA
Source: RNAcentral